GCUACCUCAUCCCUGAACUCCCAGCUCCAGCAGCUCCAGCUCCAGCUCCAGCAGCAGCAGCAGCAGCAGCAGCAGCCUCCCCCGUCAACCAACCAGCACCCGCAGCCAGCCCCACAGGCGCCCUCGCAGUCCCAGCAGCAGCCGCUGCAGCCCACCCCACCCCAGCAGCCACCACCCGCCUCUCAGCAGCCGCCAGCUCCUACAUCUCAGCUGCAACAGGCGCCUCAGCCCCAGCAGCACCAACCCCACUCCCACUCCCAGAACCAGAACCAACCAUCUCCAACCCAGCAGAGCUCCAGCCCCCCGCAGAAACCCAGUCAGUCUCCAGGACAUGGCCUGCCUUCACCGCUCACGCCACCCAAUCCUCUACAGAUUAUCGGGACCAUUCCACUGAUGCCUAAUCCGGGGCCAUCGAGCCAAGCAGCAAGCGGCACUCAGGGCUUGCAAGUGCAACCAAUCACCCC
This 464-nucleotide long non-coding RNA is filed under the name Pan troglodytes (chimpanzee). RNAcentral describes it as "long non-coding RNA NONPTRT015562". The record is from RNAcentral. Lineage: Eukaryota; Metazoa; Chordata; Mammalia; Primates; Hominidae.